GUAAAAGGUAUCGCUCUGCAGCCAAUGGGAUCUUCUUAGGCAAGACAUGAGCAAUGCACUAUCGAUGUAGCUAUCCGAAGCUAUCAGAAAGUGUUGGACCGUUCUGGACACAUCUGUCUGAUGAGCAAUCCGGUAGCAUUAUGAAGAAUGUCUAUUCAUCUGCUGCACAGCCAUUGGCCACCUUGGACAGUCCUAAGAAAUGUUUGUUUUAUGCUUCUCAAAAGUACAAAGACACCUGGGGAGGAUGUUGACAAAAGACCAGAGGUGAUUGAAGAAUCUGUUCGCGAUGCCACACUCUCCCGUACAAACACAG
Long non-coding RNA from Salarias fasciatus (jewelled blenny), 313 nucleotides. RefSeq lists it as uncharacterized. The record is from RefSeq and is a predicted model, not a curated record. The transcript has 3 exons. Lineage: Eukaryota; Metazoa; Chordata; Actinopteri; Blenniiformes; Blenniidae.